UUUAAAUUUCUGUUUUUCGAAAAAUCAACUCAUAUUGCGAGAAGUGAGUUGAGCCUCGGGUCACACGCUGAGGUAUUUCUUUUAAAUUUCUAUUUUUCAAAAAAAAAUCAACUCAUAUUACAGAGAUGAGUUGAGCCUCAGGUCACGCUGAGGUAUUUCUUUUAAAUUUCUGUUUUUUUUCAAAAAAUCAACUCAUAUUGCGAGAGGUGAGUUGAGCCUCGAAUCAUGCCGAGGUAUUUCUUUUAAAUUUCUGUUUUUUCAAAAAAAUCAACUCAUAUUGCGAGAGGUGAGUUGAGCCUCGGGUCACGCUGAGGUAUUUCUUUUAAAUCUCUGUUUUUCAAAAAAAAUCAACUCAUAUUGCGAGAAGUGAGUUGAGCCUCGGGUCGCACGCUGAGGUAUUUCUUUUAAAUUUCUAUUUUUCAAAAAAAAAAUCAACUCAUAUUACAGAGGUGAGUUGAGCAUCGGGGUCACGCUGAGGUAUUUCUUUUAAAUUUCUGUUUUUUUUCCAAAAAAUCAACUCAUAUUUUGAGAAGUGAGUUGAGCCUCGGGUCGCACGCUGAGGUAUUUCUUUUAAAUUUCUAUUUUUCAAAAAAAAUCAACUCAUAUUACAGAGAUGAGUUGAGCCUCUGGUCACGCUGAGGUAUUUCUUUUAAAUUUCUGGUUUCAAAAAUCAACUCAUAUUGCGCGAGGUGAGUUGAGCCUCGGGUCGCACGCUGAGGUAUUUUAAAUUUCUGCUUUUCAAAAAAUCAACUCAUAUUGCGAGAGGUGAGUUGAGCCUCGAGUCGCACGCUGAGGUAUUUCUUUUAAAUUUCUGUUUUCAAAAAUCAACUCAUAUUGCGAGAGGUGAGUUGAGCCUCGGGUCGCACGCUAUUUCUUUGAAGCUGUAGUUCGCACCCGGAUCAACUCAUAUUGCGAGAGGUGAGUUGAGCCUCGGGUCACGCUGAGGUAUUUCUUUUAAAUCUCUGUUUUUCAGAAAAAAAUCAACUCAUAUUGCGAGAAGUGAGUUGAGCCUCGGGUCGCACGCUGAGGUAUUUCUUUUAAAUUUCUGUUUUUUCAAAAAAAAUCAACUCAUAUUGCGAGAAGUGAGUUGAGCCUCGGGUCGCACGCUGAGGUAUUUCGUUUAAAUUCCUGUUUUUAAAAAAAAAUCAACUCAUAAUGCGAGAGGUGAGUUGUAUGAGUUGAGUAUCGGGUCACAUGUCGAGGUAUUUUCUUUUAAAUUUCUGUUUUUCAAAAAAAUCAACUCAUAUUGCGAGAAGUGAGUUGAGCCUCAGGCCACACGCCGAAGUAUUUUCGAUUUCUAUUUUUCAAAUAAAAAGAAAAUUUUGGACAGUCGAAUAAAAUUCAGUGCUUUUAAGUCUUUGCUCUAUCCCUGUUUCACAGCGAUGAGCAAAGAGGGGCAGCUGUAAUCACUGAAUUUUGUCCGGCUCGAUUUCGUGCUUUUUUUAAAAAAAUACAAAAAAAUACAAAAAAUAAAAAAAUUAUAUUUUGACCCCCUAAACUUUUUGAAAUUGCAUUUUCACCCCUAAACUUUACUAAAAUUACAUUUUUGCCCAUCAACUUCUUGAAAUUAUAUUUUGACCCCUAAAUUUUCUCAAAAUUAUGCUUGGCCCCAAAAGUUUUGCUACAUUUCCGAUCUGGUCCCUCUGGCAGACAGGCGCGAUUUGCGCACCUGCCUUCCGUGAUUUUCGACCGUUGGCCCAGUGCAUGGCCUCCCCUCUCCGCUGCUACCUGAAAACAAAGAGAAAGAAGACAAAAAUCAAGAGAUUAAAAAGACAAUGAAAAGAGAGAGGGAGGGGGAUAGCAAUCAAAAAAAAAUUCAAAGCCAAAAGAAAAUAAGCAAAGAAAUUCCAAAAAAAAAAGCUCUCAAUCCGGCCGAUUGCCUCCACCGCCACCACGUCCGUCGCGCCACCACCAUUGUCAUCUCACCGUCGAGUCCUAAACGCAAAAAACAAAAACAAAAAGCAAGCAAAAAAAACAACAGUAGAGAAACCAAAAAAUCAAACAGCAGCGAGUAAAAGCCCUCACCACCGUCGCUUGACCAUCGCCAUCGUCGUCUUCCCCUUUCCUCCGCCGCCGACUCCUACAACACAAUCAACCAACACAACAAGCAAGGAGAAGAUAAAAGUGCAGUAAAUAAAAAGAAAAAACAGCAACCCAAAGGAAAAAGAGAGAAAAAAAGAAGAGAAAAGAAAGAAAAGAGGAAGAGAAGGGGAGGCGCGCCGGCCACCGCACCACCGGGCCGAAGGAGUGUCGUUGACGGCGCAAAAGGGCUAGGAUUCGGCCCGAGGAAGAAGAAGAAAAAGAAAAAAAAGGAAGAAAAAGAGAGAAGAAAAAGAGAAAGAAAAAAGAAAAAAAAAUAAAAAGCUAACAGUCGGGUCAAACCGACCCGACCCGAAAUUGGACCCGACCCAGCAGUCCAACACCGACCCCCCAGCAACCCAGCAGCAGUAGGCCCAUUCCCAGUGGCCCAAAACAGCAACCAGCAAAAAAAAAGCAAGCAGCAGCAGAAAAAAAGGCCAGCAAGCCUGUCCAAGCCCAACAAGCCUGACCCAGUCCAGCAAGCCCAGAACAGCAGCCCCAACAGUGCCAGCAGACCCAGGCCCGUUCCAGCAGUAGGCCAGCAUCCAGCCCAGCUCCCAGCGGCCCGAUCUGCAGAAAAGAAAAAGAAAAAAGAGAAAAGGCCCAUUUUCAAGCCCAUAACUUUGGGCUUUUGGUAAUUUUUUUAACCCAUGUUAAUUUAGUUAAUUUAUUUAAAUAUUGUCUUAUUGUAAUUAAAUUAGCAUUUUUAAAAAUAGUUUUUUUAGAAACAUUAUUAUGUGUAAUUUUAUUUGUAUUUUUUUAAAAUAUAAAAAAAUUAUUUUAAUGCAUAAGGCAACGAACCGAUUUAAUAUCGAGCCGUUGAUUUCAUCGCUAUGUUGGGUGAAUAUCGAUGGCUCGUGUUAAAUAUGGGACGCCCUUCUAACAAUCGAAAAUAUUCGAAAUUCCUCGUAUUUUAAUAAAAUUCUCGUGUUUUAUUAGAAUCCCGAUUAAAUAUUAAAUUGAAUCAGUUUGACACUAAUUCGACGAUUUCAUCGCCAUGUCGGGGUGAAUAUCAUCGAUUCGUGUUAAAUACGGUAUUAAAAAGAAUCGUGUUUCAAAAAUUUUCAUGUCUUCAAAAUUUCUCGUGUUUCAAAAUAAUAAUAAUAAAUUUUCUCGUGUUUCAAAAAUAUAUGUUCGUGUUUCUUUUUUAAAAAAAAAAUUAAUUUUCCGUGUUUUCAAAAAUUCCCUUGUUUGAAAAAUGUUCGUGUUUUCGUGUUUUCAAAAAAAUAAUUUCUCGUGUUUCAAAAAAAAACUUAUGCGAAUAUUUCUUUUGAUGUUAUCGUGUUUUCAAAAAAAAAUUCCCGUGUUUGAAAAAUUUUCAUGUUUCCGUGUUUUAAAAAAAAAUUCGUGUUUCAAAAAUUUUCGUGUUUUCAAAAAAAUUGACCGUGUUUCAUAAAUUUUCGUGUUUCAAAAAAUCCUCGUGUUUCGUAUUUUAUCAAAAAAUUUAUGUUUUCAAAAAAAUUUUGUGUUUUAAAAAUUUUCGUGUUUCAAAAAGAAAAUUCGUGUUUCCUAAAAAAAUCUCGUGUUUCAAAAUUUUUGUUUUUUUUUAAAAAGAGUUUCGCGUUUCUAAAAUGCUUGUAUUUUAAAAAAAUUUUGUGUUUUCAAAAAAAAAAGGAAAAGUUGUUGUGCUUUAAAAUUUUCGGGCUUUAAUCGGAUCACGACUAAUAUUAAAUUGAACUCGUAUUUUUGAAAAUGAAGACAACACGCGUUUAACGAGAUACCAGUUUUGGGCGUCGCGAGGGUGCUAAUACCUUCCUCGCGCGUAACCGACUCCCGAACCCUACUUUUCUCUGAAUUUUCACGCAGACCUAAAAUUUCCUCUUUUUAGAAAAGCUUAAAAAUAAAGUUUUCUAAAAAAGGAGAAUUUUGUAAGUGUCCGAUCACACCUAGAUUGGCCAAUGCUCAAAUAAUUUUGUAAGGUGGCGACUCCUUUUUCAAAUAAAAUCGAGAUUCGGUUUUUAAGUUUUCAAUAAUUACUUCAACUAGCGCCCGAUGCUCAAUUUUUAGGUCGCUACACAAGGAAUGACCAACACCUGUUAAUGGCUUGACGAGGUGUCGCUCUCAAUGAAGUGUUGAUUGGCACAAUAUCCUCUAAAAGAAGGCUAUAAAAAUGGAGUUCAAGUAAUUGAAGGAUUUGUUCUCAGUUCUCUACUUUAUACCACGAC
Molecule: long non-coding RNA, 4244 nt
Filed under: Gossypium raimondii (Peruvian cotton)
Lineage: Eukaryota; Viridiplantae; Streptophyta; Magnoliopsida; Malvales; Malvaceae
Description: long non-coding RNA (GRAI_LNC004238)
Source: RNAcentral